AAGGUGCUAGUAUAGAUACAAAUACACUGCCUUGUCAAGGCAGAAUCGUGGGUUAAACUCCCGCGCACCUUG
Molecule: transfer RNA, 72 nt
Filed under: Bathygobius coalitus (whitespotted frillgoby)
Lineage: Eukaryota; Metazoa; Chordata; Actinopteri; Gobiiformes; Gobiidae
Description: tRNA-Asp
Rfam family: tRNA
About the family: Transfer RNA (tRNA) molecules are approximately 80 nucleotides in length.
Source: RNAcentral